RNAcentral lists this unclassified non-coding RNA (3363 nucleotides) under Hevea brasiliensis (rubber tree). The record is from RNAcentral. Lineage: Eukaryota; Viridiplantae; Streptophyta; Magnoliopsida; Malpighiales; Euphorbiaceae.
GGGAUGGUUCCAUUCAAUUAUUGAUUCUUUAGUUAAUGUUUUAUUAUUCAUCCAUCGGCUAAUGCAUUAUUUGAUGCGCUUUGUCAAUUGCCAUGAAAAGGGGAAAACAGAAAUAUUUGAAUGGUCCCAGCUCUCCAUUGCUCCAGUACCAUACAUGUGUAAUGCAUAUUAAUGCUGGGACAUGGGCAUAAUUCGAAAGGGCCACAUCCAAGGACCUAAGGAAAUUGUAACAUGAUCAUGAAUCAAUUCCAGGACAGUUAAUUACUGUUGGUGCAUGUGUAUGUGUUGGUGGUCCUGUCCCUGGGCACUUAGCCUUGUAAAUUAAUCCUCCAGGCUCCAAUACUUUGUUAACGAUACAACUAUAUGUGGAAUGUUUAUUGGAAGAGCAAAUUGUAGCGUCUUGUGGAAUCUGUGGAGAAAAUAAUUUUAACAUGUUUAAAGUGGUACAAAGUUAACGUAGGUCGAAUUUGAUAGCUCGUGGGCUUUUUAGUUGCUAGUUUGAACAAGAACAGUGGAUUUUUUUUUUUUUAAUCUGCAAAGCCAAAUGGGCAAACGAGUACAGAACAAAUGAAAAGGUUAAAGGCCCAUAAUCCAGUCUCUUACAAAUAUUUCCAAAUCAAGAAAUCACCUUCAAAGAAACCUUGGAAACCAAAACAUUGAAAACAAAACUACCAAAAAACCCAUUGCGGCACCGUUGGACAUCCAAAGCCGGAACCAGAGCAACAACUAGGGAGAAGAUACUAGAAGCGUUAACAGCGAUAAAGCACCUACAUGCAUCCAAACAUCGACACAAAAGCCUUCGUGCUUGUGAAAACGUAACAGAAAAUAGAAAUUGUGAGAUAAUGCGGAUCCCAUUUCAUUGAUCAAUAACUGUUUAUAUACAGGUGGGAAGAGUAUCUUGAAAUUUCUACAAGCUUCUAAAAGAAAGAAAAAAUGAAAAUAGCUUAGCACUUGCUAUCGAUUGCCAGCUAUGUCCAACAAUUCUAAAAAACUUUCAAUAGAUGCAGGAAUUUUUUUCCCUGCUUUGUAUUUUUUUCUUUUUUAAACCUGUUUCUGUAACUUACUGUUGCACAUCGUUUUGGACUCUGCUUUCUUCCUUCCCUUCACUAGUACUGGUCAAAAUGCUCCGUUUACAUAAUUCUUCAUCCCCCCCGCAAGAUGGAGACGGGUCAAAAUCAUGAAGUCCCAUCUUGGCUAACAAAAUUGCAAAAGCAGAGGCGCCUAAAGCUUUGGUAAACAAAUCAGCAAGCUGUAAACGAGAAGGAAUGUGUAUGGUUUGAAUGAAGCCUUGCUUAGCUUGCUCUCUUACCACAUGACAAUCAAUGUCAAGGUGUUUAGUGCGUUCAUGGAAAAUUGGGUUUGCAGCUAUAUGUUGAGCUGCCUUAUUAUCACAGUGAAGCAAAAUUGGAAGGGAUGGUUGAAUGCGAAAUUCGUGGAGUAUAUAAGUAAUCCACUAAAGUUCACAAACCGUUGAAGCCAUGCUACGGUAUUCAGCCUCAGCAGUAGAACGACUAACAGUAUUCUGUUUCUUUGCCUUCCGUGAAAUGAGAGAUGGACCAAGAAAAAUACAGAACCCAGUGAGAGAUUUGCGAGACAUGGAGCACGAUGCCCAGUCGGCAUCACAGAAAGCUUGUAGCUUGAAAUCAUUGUUAGUUGGAAAAAAAAUUCCUUUUGCUGGACAUCCUUUGAGGUAGCGAAGGACAUGGAGUGCUGUGUUCCAGUGGGACUCUCGUGGAUGCUGCAUGAAUUGGCUCAAUUGUUGAGUAGAAUAUGUAAUAUCAGGUCGUGUAAGACUGAGAUACAAUAAUCGCCCAACCAAGCGCCUGUAUUUUUCAGGAUCUGGAAGUAAUGGGCUAUCUUCAUUGUUCAAUUUGAGUCUCUUUGGGAAUGGAAAUGGUGUGGACUUUGCCUCUGUAAAUCCAGCAUCCUUGAUGAUAUCUAGCACAUACUUUCGUUGAUUCAAAAACAUGCCUUGUUCAGAUCGAGCCACUUCAAUUCCUAAAAAAUAUUUGACAUAGCCCAAGUCUUUGAUAGUGAAUUGCUGAUCCACGAAUUUCUUAACAGCAAUGAUGUCAGCUUCACUUGUCCCAGUAAUAAGAACAUCAUCAACGUACACAAUUAGAGCAAGAAAAUUUGUUGCAGACCCUUUGGUGAAUAAACAAUGAUCAAAAGCAGAUUGAGUGAAGCCAUAUAACUUCAAGUGAUGGGUCAACUCCUUGUUCCAUUGCCUACCUGCCUGUUUCAGACCAUAUAAGCACUUCACCAAUUUACAGACUUCACCUGGUUUUGCCUUAGAGUACCCUUGAGGUGGAAGCAUGUACAAAUCUUCAUCAACAUGACCAUGUAAGUAGGCAUUAUUAAUAUCAAGCUGAUGGACAGACCAUUUAGAAGCAGUGGCAAUAGCUAGAACUAUCCUCACUGUUACUAACUUGGCAACUGGGGAAAAAAUUUCAUGAUAAUCCACACCAGGAAGCUGAUUGAAACCUUUGGCUACUAAUCUAGCCUUGUAUCUGUCUAUGGUUCCAUCAGGUCUAUACUUAAUACGGUAUAGCCACUUGGAGGCUAUGGCUUUUUUCCCUUCAGGCAACUUGGUGAGGUACCGAGUAUUGUUUAAUUCAAGAGCAUCUAAUUCAGAUUGCAUUGCCCUUACCCAAUUACUAUCCUCUUUGGCCUGUUGAUAAGAUUUAGGUUCCACAGAAGCAGAUACAUGUGCUACAAAACUAAUGUAAUCAUGAUGAAAUGUAGGUGGUGACAGAUAAGAAGGUAUAGUAGGGAAAGCAAAUAUACCUGCAGAGUGAAUGUUGUCUUCGGUAUGACUACUAGGAGCUGCAAUAGGAAAAUCAAUAGAAGCAACAAAAUCAGUUAGCCAUUUUGGUUUAGAAGUGAUUCGUGUGCUUUUCCUUGUGAUAGGUAUCAAAGUUUGUGGUAAUGAAGUCUAUGAAAAUGAAGGUUGUGGUGACUGAGGAGUGGAAGAAGCAGUUGGUAACAUGUGGGAUUGUGGUGUAGAUGAAGUGAGUGAGUUAUGUAAACUGGAAGUAGAGGAAUUACUAGGAGCAGAAGUAGGACUAGUGUGAGGUGUUGUGAAAAUUGGCAAAAAAUUGAAUUGAGAGUCUAGAAAGGUAAAGGAAUUGUGCUGUCACCAGAUUUGUGAAGUUGUGACUUUUGAAAUGGAAAAUAAUGCUCAUGAAAAACAACAUCUCUUGAUAUGAAAAUGCAUUUUUCAACUAAGUUGUACAAUUUGUAGGCUUUAAAUCCAGGUGCAUAUCCAAUGAAAAUACAUUUAAAAGUUCUUGGUGAAAACUUAUCCUUGUUGGGUGUAAGAUUUGUAGCAAAACACAUGCAGCCAAAUACUUUUAAUUUGUU